GCUGGAUUUGGCCUACAGUACUAUUCCUUCUACACUUCUGGAAUUGCCUUGAAGAAGAAGAUCUGUGUCUCCAAUCUAAUAAAACCCACUGACUUACCCUGCAAUCUUUACUGAUUGCCCUGUUGCUGUGAGGUUGUGUUUCCCAAAACAGGCAGAGAUGUUGCAAUACACCAUGAUGAAACAUCUGGAAAUUGAAAAGCAACUACUGCAGGAAUCCUGAGUUGAACUCCUUGCAUGCUUACUGCACUCUGCCUUUGGCUGGCUUACUCAGGCUUUCCCUUGUAAACUCUGGAGUGAAUCAUUUAAUCUGCUGGACCGGAGUUAGAGAAACCCUGGAGCAGCUCAUUCAUUCACUGGCGAGGCUGCUCUUCUGCUCUGCAGUGGCUGGGACAGCCUAUGCUUGCUCCUUGACUCAAAAGAAAAUGGAGGCAGUUGUCCUACAAGGGAAAGAAGCUUUGCUCUGCAGAGCUGAGGACAAACUGCACUGAGGCUCCAACCUGCCACGGCAGGAAACGGACAAUUGGGAAACCCAUGGCAUGACUGCUGCUGAGCUUAGGAUUGCUCAAAAAAUGCAUUCCACUUGUAUAGUAGAGCCAACAAAGCCAUGGGGUUAAGGAACAGGUAGGCUCCCUUUUCUCUAAAGCCAAGGUGCUGGUGAUGGAUCCAUAUAAAAAAAGCUAUGGAAAAACUGUUGCCUCACAUUACUUUAAUCCUCCAUAGUUAGUGCACAGUAACUUGAGUUUUGGGGUGGUUUAAACCAUCUAGAACAUCACCUUAUGGUGGCUUUACAGGACAAACAGGAUUAUUUUCUACUAGUGCAUUCACUUGCGGCUGGAAGCUUUCUGAAACUUUCUGAACAUAUUGUUUCUGUCUUGAAAAUACAUUUUUUUUUCCACAAAUAAAACUUUUGGAAAAAAAAAAAAGAA
RNAcentral lists this long non-coding RNA (926 nucleotides) under Anser brachyrhynchus (Pink-footed goose). Its description in RNAcentral is "lncRNA (ENSABRG00000002892.1)". The record is from RNAcentral. Lineage: Eukaryota; Metazoa; Chordata; Aves; Anseriformes; Anatidae.